Molecule: small nucleolar RNA, 103 nt
Organism: Sorex fumeus (smoky shrew)
Lineage: Eukaryota; Metazoa; Chordata; Mammalia; Eulipotyphla; Soricidae
Product: small nucleolar RNA U13
Exons: 1
Source: RefSeq, a predicted model, not a curated record
ACCCUUUUCUGGUUCAUAAUCAUGAUGAUUGGGUGCUCACAAGCUGUGUGGCAUGUGCCUCCCUUAAAUCUUGUUAUUCAUUUGGCACAUUAUCCAUCUGACA